AGGGAGGAGUCGGCUUUGAUGUGAGAAUUCUAAAUUCUGAUCUUAGAACUGUGACCUCAUAGGUCCACUUAGUAAGACUGAAGUCAGCAGACUGAUUUCACAGUGAGUGAGGUAGUGAGGCUUCAGAUCACAACCUAAUCACCACUCCUUCCCUUCUUCUUCCAAGCGGAGAAACUCUAGUGGCUACGGACUCCAUGGAAGAGGACCAGCUCCCUCUGCAGAUGUAAAAGGGCUCAUUUUUCGGUGUUUAAGUUAAGUAUUUCUUUAAGCAUUCUUAUUUUCCUGUGAUGUACUAGUGAAACAAAGUUAUAGUAAUAGUUACAGGCUUUGACCUGAAACUUUGGUCAGUGAUCUCAAAAAUCUGUAUAGAAGCCAGGCUCAGGGCAUGCUGGGAAGUUUAAUCAUAAACUGGUCUCUGAUUGGCCAUAUUUUUCCUGACGUGUGUAAAACAGCACAGACUGGUGUUGGACUGUGAAGUGUCUUUUGGUGCUUGUAAAGUUGUCCGGUCGUGUGUUUGUGGUACCCCCCAAAGGAUGAGCCUUAGUUUGGGUGCCAGUUGAGUUUAUUUAACUGUGGAAAUAUAUCAGAAGAGACACACAUAUGUGUAUGUGUGUGUGUAUAUAUGUGUAUAUUUAUGUAUAAUAUCAGGGCUAAAUUUACAAGCUACAAAGUUGUUGACUGUGAAAAUAGGAAAAAUGUUUUGGACUUGAUCUGAUGUGCAGGUAUGAUGAUGAGAAAAAAAAUGACUCUCAGAUUGUCCCCGAGGGGGGUAUUGAAAAAAAUCCUUAUGGAGUCACAUCACUGCAUGUAUACAAUAUCAUCUGACCUGGUUCCACAUACCUAAACUAUUCCCAGUCAUGGUUCAAAAAAUGUAUAUUUAUAUAGACGGCAGGCACAGGGCAUGCUGGGAAGUUUAACUAUAAACUGGUCUCUGAUUGGCCAUAAUUUUCCUGACGUGUGUAAAACAGCACAGACUGGUGUUGGACUGUGAAGUGUCUUUUGGUGCUUGUAAAGUUGUCCGGUCGUGUGUUUGUGGUACACCCUCAAGGAUGAGCCUUAGUUUGGGUGCCAGUUGAGUUUAUUUAACUGUGGAAAUAUAUCAGAGAGACACACACAUGUGUAUGUGUGCGUGUAUAUAUUUGUAUACUUGAUCUGAUGUGCAGGUAUGAUGAUGAUAAAAAAAUGACUCUCCGAUUGUCCCCAAGGGGGGUAUAGAAAAUAAUCCUCAUGAAGUCACAUCACUGCAUGUAUACAAUAUCAUCUGACCUGGUUCCAGAUACCAAAACUAUUCCCAGUCAUAGUUCAAAAAAUGUAUAUUUAUAUAGAGGCCAUCACCAGCAUCAGUGUUUUGAAGAGUAGGUUGAAGACUGUCUAUUUUGUUAGAGCUUAUACUUAUCUGUAAACAUUCAUGUCUCAUUAAUACAUAAUACUACAUUAACUUCUUCUUCUUAGGGGGGAAGAAGUUAUGUGUGGGGGGGGGGGGGGGGUUGUGCUUUGUCGUCUUGCAGGUUCUCAUGGAUCGUGGCUGCAGCUGUGGUCCUGUGCGAUGUCCAUCUGUGAUGCAUCUAUGUCUCUCUCUCUCUCUCUCUCCCUCUCUCCCUCUCUCUCGCUCUGUCUCUCUCUCUCUCUCUCUCUCUCUCCUUUACCCCUACACCCUCGCCCCCGUCUCUCCCUCUCUCUGUAACUCAACCGGUCGCGGCAGAUGACCGUCCACCAAUGAGCUUGGUUCUGCUCGAGGUUUCUACCUGUUAAAAGGUAGUUUUUCCUCGCCACUGUCGCCAAGUGCUUGCUCAUGGUGGAUUUGUUGGGUCUCUAUAGAUAAUAUUAUGAAAAGUAUGGUCUAGACCUGCUCUAAUCUACCCCAAUCAUAGUUUUCACAUUAAUAUUGUAUUAUGAUUGCCCUUAAAGCCCUUGGGUCGAAGACUUCACUAUACUUUGAUUGCAAUGAUGAUUGUUGUGAUGAACAUUUUAUUUCAAUAAAAAAUGAUAAUCUAGAA
This is a long non-coding RNA of Larimichthys crocea (large yellow croaker), 1997 nucleotides long. RefSeq lists it as uncharacterized. Lineage: Eukaryota; Metazoa; Chordata; Actinopteri; Sciaenidae. The transcript has 2 exons. The record is from RefSeq and is a predicted model, not a curated record.